CAGCCGGACCGGACGGUCGCUCUCGACGCCUUCGGGCGGCGGGGGAGGAAAGUCCGAACUCCGCAGAGCUGUGUGCCGGAUAACGUCCGGGAGGGUGCCCCACCCUUGCCUUGGCAAGGGUGGGAACAUUCGACGGAAAGUGCCACAGAAAACAUACCGCCCUGGCGGCAACGCUAGGGUAAGGGUGAAAAGGUGCGGUAAGAGCGCACCGCCGUCGCAGUAAUGCGGCGGGCAAGGCAAACCCCACACGGAGCAAGACCAAAUAGGGAGGGAGCCUCCGGGUUCGCCUGGGGCGCGUGCCGGCUCGGUGCGUUACCACCUCCGGGUAGGUCGCUUGAGCCUCGCAGCAAUGCGUGGCCCAGAGGAAUGACCGUCCUGCAGAAACGGGGUCCCCAGCGCGGGUUUUCAGCCCGCGAUGGGGUGCUUCAAUCGGCAGACAGAAUUCGGCUUACAGGUCCGGCUGCCGA
Molecule: RNase P RNA, 467 nt
Filed under: Chloroflexi bacterium 13_1_20CM_2_59_7
Lineage: Bacteria; Bacillati; Chloroflexota
Description: RNase P RNA component class A
Rfam family: Bacterial RNase P class A
About the family: Ribonuclease P (RNase P) is a ubiquitous endoribonuclease, found in archaea, bacteria and eukarya as well as chloroplasts and mitochondria. Its best characterised activity is the generation of mature 5'-ends of tRNAs by cleaving the 5'-leader elements of precursor-tRNAs. Cellular RNase Ps are ribonucleoproteins.
Source: RNAcentral